Molecule: non-coding RNA, 48 nt
Filed under: Trichobilharzia regenti
Lineage: Eukaryota; Metazoa; Platyhelminthes; Trematoda; Strigeidida; Schistosomatidae
Source: RNAcentral
UUCUAGUUGACGAGUCCCAAAUAGGACGAAAUGUGCGUUAUCCUGGAU